RNAcentral lists this ribosomal RNA (253 nucleotides) under uncultured bacterium. RNAcentral describes it as "partial 16S ribosomal RNA". It matches the Rfam family "Bacterial small subunit ribosomal RNA", at positions 524 to 776 of the family's 1533-position model. The record is from RNAcentral.
UCCGUAGGUGGCAAGCGUUGUUCGGAAUUACUGGGCGUAAAGGGUUCGUAGGCGGUGCGGCAAGUUGGGAGUGACAUCUCUGGGCUUAACCCAGAGGCUGCUUCCAAAACUGCCGUGCUAGAGUGCGAGAGAGGCCAGUGGAAUUGCAGGUGUAGCGGUGAAAUGCGUAGAUAUCUGCAGGAACACCCGUGGCGAAGGCGGCUGGCUGGAUCGCAACUGACGCUGAGGAGCGAAAGCUAGGGGAGCAAACAGG